This 428-nucleotide unclassified non-coding RNA is filed under the name soil metagenome. Its description in RNAcentral is "partial contains 5.8S ribosomal RNA, internal transcribed spacer 2, and large subunit ribosomal RNA". The stretch from base 1 to 120 matches the Rfam family "5.8S ribosomal RNA", at positions 35 to 154 of the family's 154-position model. The record is from RNAcentral.
GAUGAAGAACGUAGCGAAAUGCGAUACGUAGUGUGAAUUGCAGAAUUCCGUGAAUCAUCAAAUCUUUGAACGCAUAUUGCGCCCGCGACUUCGGUCAAGGGCAUGUCCGCCUCAGCGUCGGUUUAUAUCCUCGCUUCAACCACUUAGGUGGUACGGUUGGUGCCUAAUAAUCACCAGCCUUGAAGCGGAUCUGGCUUUCCCAGGCGAGUAAUCACUGGGUUUGCUGAAGUGCAGAGGCUAGAGCUGGACCCAUUAUGGGCUUCAACUGGAUAGGUAGAACCAGCUUCGGCUGACCUACACGAAGUUGUGGCUUGCGGUUCUUGCUGGCGGCCUAACGGAAGCUUGCGAAAGCAUGCUCCAUCUAAACAUUCGACCUGAGCUCGGGCAAGAUUACCCGCUGAACUUAAGCAUAUCAAUAAGCGGAGGAA